CCUACGGGUGGCAGCAGUGAGGAAUAUUGGUCAAUGGUCGAGAGGCUGAACCAGCCAAGUCGCGUGAGGGAAGACGGCCCUACGGGUUGUAAACCUCUUUUGUCGGGGAGCAAAGCGAACCACGUGUGGUUCAUUGAGAGUACCCUCCGAAAAAGCAUCGGCUAACUCCGUGCCAGUAGCCGCGGUAAUACGGAGGAUGCGAGCGUUAUCCGGAUUUAUUGGGUUUAAGGGGUGCGCAGGCGGUCUGUUAAGUCAGCGGUCAAAGCCCGGGGCUCAACCCCGGCCCGCCGUUGAAACUGGCAGUCUCGAGGUGGAGAGAAGUAGGCGGAAUGCGCGGUGUAGCGGUGAAAUGCAUAGAUAUCGCGCAGAACUCCGAUUGCGAAGGCAGCAUGCCGGCUCCACACUGACGCUGAGGCACGAAAGCGUGGGUAUCGAACAGGAUUAGAUACCCCAGUAGUC
RNAcentral lists this ribosomal RNA (459 nucleotides) under uncultured bacterium. RNAcentral's name for it is "partial 16S ribosomal RNA". It matches the Rfam family "Bacterial small subunit ribosomal RNA", at positions 338 to 795 of the family's 1533-position model. The record is from RNAcentral.